CCCUUAGAUGUCCUGGGCUGCACGCGCGCUACACUGGAAGUUACGGAUUGAGAUACUACCUUGUCCGAAAUGGUCCGGGUAAUCACCUAAAAGCUUGUCAUAAUUGGAAUGGAUUAUUGUAACUAGUAAUCCUGAACGAGGAAUUCCUAGUAAGUCCCAGUCAACAGCUGGUACUGAUUACGUCCCUGCCCUUUGUACACACCGCCCGUCGCUACUACUGAUUGGACGUUUAAGCAAGAUUUUUAAACACUGACAGUGUGUAGUUCACGCUAUACUAAAGUGAGAAGAAGAAGAUCGAGCUUACUUGUCUAGAGGAAGUAAAAGUCGUAACA
RNAcentral lists this ribosomal RNA (332 nucleotides) under uncultured eukaryote. Its description in RNAcentral is "partial 18S ribosomal RNA". It matches the Rfam family "Eukaryotic small subunit ribosomal RNA", at positions 1470 to 1796 of the family's 1831-position model. The record is from RNAcentral.